Molecule: ribosomal RNA, 497 nt
Filed under: uncultured bacterium
Lineage: Bacteria
Description: partial 16S ribosomal RNA
Rfam family: Bacterial small subunit ribosomal RNA
Source: RNAcentral
GACGAACGCUGGCGGCGUGCCUAAUACAUGCAAGUUGAGCGCUGAAGGUUGGUACUUGUACCAACUGGAUGAGCAGCGAACGGGUGAGUAACGCGUGGGGAAUCUGCCUUUGAGCGGGGGACAACAUUUGGAAACGAAUGCUAAUACCGCAUAAAAACUUUAAACACAAGUUUUAAGAUUGAAAGAUGCAAUUGCAUCACUCAAAGAUGAUCCCGCGUUGUAUUAGCUAGUUGGUGAGGUAAAGGCUCACCAAGGCGAUGAUACAUAGCCGACCUGAGAGGGUGGUCGGCCACAUUGGGACUGAAGCACGGCCCAAACUCCUACGGGAGGCAGCAGUAGGGAAUCUUCGGCAAUGGACGAAAGUCUGACCGAGCAACGCCGCGUGAGUGAAGAAGGUUUUCGGAUCGUAAAACUCUGUUGGUAGAGAAGAACGUUGGUGAGAGUGGAAAGCGCAUCAAGUGACGGUAACUACCCAGAAAGGGACGGCUAACUACGUG